This is a non-coding RNA of Podarcis lilfordi (Lilford's wall lizard), 12018 nucleotides long. The record is from the annotation of a GenBank genome assembly. Lineage: Eukaryota; Metazoa; Chordata; Lepidosauria; Squamata; Lacertidae.
CCGGCCACCUUUUCUCUCAUUCUUUUCCCACUUGUCCAAUGUGGUGCUGCCCCCAGAAGUUGCUGGACUGCAUCUCCCAUCAGUCCCGUCAGUCCCGGUCAGCAUGGCCAAUGCUCAGGGGCGCAUGAGAGGUUAUAUCUGUAGGGCAGCGCACUGCCUACUUCUGUUCUUUAUGAGCUCUGCAAUGCAUCAAUGGACCCUAAAUUCUGCAAACAAAUACCACAUGAAGAAUUAGAAGGAGGGAAAGAAAGAAGAGCACCUUUAAUCACCCUAGUCAGCCACCAGAGUCUCUGCUGUCCCUGGUUGAGCCGUAAAGUCUCAAGCUUUUCAGUCCUGCACAGAAGUCAGCCUUGACAGAGCAAUUUAUCAGUAGAGUAAGUAUUCACUAAUAUGUGUAAUAUUAAUGGCCAUCUCCUUUUUAUGCAUUUUGGGUUUCUUCAUAUCAAAUUAAACCUUCACAUAUCAUACAGCGGACUUCUCACGCCAACUGAGUUUUCCCUAAGUAGAAACUCACAGGGAGGGGGGAAGGUUUGAUGGGCAAAGGAAAUUGACCAUAGCUUUCCCUCUGACUAUAAAUUAUAUGCAGUUCAUAGAUUAGUUGCAUGCUGUGCUUGGGGACCGUUCCCCAAUGCCUGUGUAUAAUAAUAGGUUGCGGCACCAGGAAUUCCCGUAUCCCUUCAGCGACAGAGGGCAAGAUUUUAGAAAAAGCUUUUACAAUUUGCUUAUACCGCAGAGGUUACACUUUUUUGAAUGUCAUUUCAUUUCUGUUUAGGAGUCAUCUUGUGGGAAAGGCACCCAAAAAACCUACAGAUUGUUUGACCAAACAUUGCACUUUCUAGCUCUGUCUGUUCACAUCCAUAUCACACUAUAUAUAUAAACCACAAGGCUCCCCCCCCCCGAGUCUUGGGAACUGUAGUGUGUUAAGGGUGCUGGGAAUUGUAGCUGUUUGAGAGGUAAACGACGACCCUUUGGAAAUGUGCUUUAAGUGCACGGUGCAGAUGCUUAAAUCAAAAUGUGCCCUAUUACCUAACAAACCCGGAUUUCUACUUCACUAGGGACCAUGCGCAAACCAGGUUGGUUUCUGCAAAAUUCAUAGAGCCAAAAUUUGCACUGACUUUGACCAGGUUAUACAACGUUCCCAGGGUACAUACUUUUAUAGCUACACCUGGUCACCGGGUGGUUUACAAAAAAAGAGUAGGGUAGCAUAAUACAUAACAAAUAUUAAAACAUUCUCAUGAAUCACAUGUUGUGUUAUGCCAUGCUCCCAUGGCAGAUGUUUUUUGACUGAUGUCCACAGCACUUUGUCAAAAUUCAAAAUGUUCCCGGUGAUCCAGAAAGGUUGGCGGCCCUUGCACUGGUGUAAUGAUGCAUGCAACCCUAAGUAUGGUACCCACCUUGAAACUUUAAGAUUGGGCAGGCCACCCUAUAAAUAUAUAUCUGCUUUGCCCUAGCAUUGCCAACCUGCAGAAGCAGUGACUGCUAGUUUUACAUGAAAGUACCACCAGAAAAUGGGCAUAAUUUUAAAAAUAACUGACAGCUUGUCAACUGGCCGUACGUGAUUAACGGGUGUGGGGUGCGGACUCUAAUUCAGCCACAACUACUGCCGUAGCAGCCAGAACUGAAAUCUGCAUUUGACACAGUCUGAAUGCAAACAAUGUUAUUAUCCCAUCGCUGUGAUUGUCUCAAGUCACAGCUCGGCUCUGUGGAUUACCUAUGAAUGAGUGGAGCUGGUUUUCUACCUAUAAGGUCCAACAUGAAGCAAGGGCCCUGCUUCUAAUCCAAGCAGGCUGAAUUCUUUAUCUGAAGCAAUGCCAACCAGUUGGAACGUGGUUUUAGGAUGAGACCCCAUAACAGUUCAGUAGCUGCUAAAUAAAAUCCCACCAUGUUUUCAGUGGGCCAGUUUGGAUCAUGUCUUCCUGGAAGUAUCCACAUUGUUCAGAAAUCUGGAGUGGGUGUGGGGACACCUGUUUAUUCACAUAGAACAUCUCCUCUGCCAUUCAGAAAGCUUUCACGACACUUUGCUUGACUAUACUGAACGAGAGAAAUGGGGGGCAAAUUGUUCCUGGAUAGGAUAGUCAAGGUAGAGAACUGCCAGGCACUUAAUGGAAAAGCACUCAAGCCCAGCUUUGGCUCUAAACAUUAAUCUAGCCCAUAAUAUUCUUGGAAGCAACUGGGCAGCCCCUGUUUCUACAUGGACCGGUAUUGCCAACAUCACCGCUAACUGUCCUUGGACCCAUGUAUCCUUUUAUCACUGUCUCAGCCGUUCACUGCUUUUUAUUUUACUGGUGAACAAACUGCUUGCAAUUGAAUUAAGCACAAACAACUAAUGUUUUGCUGUAGUAACUCAGAAUUUCAUUCAAGAAACAGUUACUGAUUCACUGAUGGAUUAAGACCCUGCUUGCAUAAUUAAACUUUAUUUUUUCUUGCAAGCUAGCAUUGCACCCUUCUUAGUAAAAGGUUCAGCUGAGAAUACACUCUUAAACAUGCCUAUAUUUAAUUUGAUGUAAGAAUUGGACACCUAUUCUCUUAUCUGUUCUGUAUUGAUGGGCGGGCACACCUUUUGUGUUGCUGUCUCCUUUUCUGCUCUUUCAUAUGUGGCAGAGGUUCAGCAGAAACAGAACUUUCUCUCUCUCCCUCUAUGCCCCCUUUUCAAGCUGGUUCUUGGAUGUUUUAGAUUUCAGGUACCUGAAGGAGUAUGUUUCACUCCAUACUGCCCUGAGUUGCAGUAAACAGUUUUGUGCCAGUGACUGUUUAUUUGUUUCAUUUAUUUGAAAUAACGCCUCUUCUGCUUUUUACUUCUGCUACUUUUCAUGUGUGGCAGCCAUUUUGUGUUAUGUCACACCCACACCCCAAGGCAGCCAUUUUGUGACUGGCACCCACAGAACUUUUUCAAUAUUCCAAAUGUGCCCACUGGCCCAAAAAAGGCCUCUCCUAUAUCGCUGGUGGUUGCUUGGCUUCUGGCCACUUCAAAUGAGUGCCACUACAUCACGUGGGAAGGUAGACAAGCCCACUAAGCCCUGGCGUCACCCAACACUGGCCAAGGAGAUUCCAUUUACCAGUCAGUUUGGUUAAACCUUUUUCUCCUGAAUUUGUCUUAAGACCUCAAGUUAAAAUAAGCUCUUGAGGGGAGGCAUUACAUGAGGGGGUAUCUAAACUUAUUUUCUAUUAAUUUUUUAAAAAUAUCAAGUGUUAGCAGAAUAUAUAUAUAUAUAUAUAUAUAUAUAUAUAUAUAUAUAUGGUCAAAGUCUUGUUACUAUUUCACAAAAAAAGAAGCGUUUCAAUCCAUGCCUAAUGUGACUAUAUAUAUUCACUCUAGUAAACCUGAAACUGCAUGAUUUGUUGCUCAUGCAUAUAUCUAUAUUCGGGAAAGUGGGUAAACACUGCACAGAGAAUAUUUUGUGCUUCCCUGGUCUUGGGCAGAUUAGCAGAAAUUAAAUUUCACACUAAUCUGCCCAAGACCAUGAGUGCCACAUUAAGAUCUAGGGUACUCAGUUAAUUGUAAAAAAAAAAAAAAAAGUCCCUCCAUUUGUGCUCUUUGUAAAACUUUGGCUAGAGCUUUCCCCUCUUCCUGGAAAGAGAUGCCAUGUUCAGUGAUUGCGGACUGGAAAUCUGUCUGCCCAUCCCUUCAUGUGUGUCAUUUUAGAUGUCUUGGUCCUGAAACAUUCCCUUUCUAGCCGGCCACACACAUCCCCUAGGGCUCAUCUCCCUUCUGACCCUUUCCUAUCUCUGGGGCACAGGGGGCUUCCUUCAUUCCUCAUUUAUUAGUCAUUUAGUCGUGUCCGACUCUUCGUGACCCCAUGGACCAGAGCACACCAGGCACUCCUGUCUUCCACUGUCUCCCGCAAUUUGGUCAAACUCAUGUUAGUAGCUUCAAGAACACUGUCCAACCAUCUCGUCCUCUGUCGUCCCCUUCUCCUUGUGCCCUCAAUCUUUUGUCAUAUGUCUGUUGUCUUUGUCCAUGGAGUUUUCUUGGCAGGGAUAAUGGAGUGGCUUGCCAGUUCCUGCUCCAGCUGGAUCAUGUUUGGUCAAAACUCUCCACUAUGACCUGUCCAUCUUGGGUGGCCCUGCACGGCAUAGCUCAUAGCUUCUCUGAGUUAUUCAAGCCCCUUCGCCACGGCAAGGCAGUGAUCCUUGAAGGAUCACUCAUUUAUAUUACUCUGCAAUGAUCUGAAAUGAUGCUCAUUUAUAUUACUCUGCAAUGCUAUGUGUGGGGAGGGGUAGUACCUCUGGUGAGGGACAUGUUGUGCUCCUUCUGGGGGUGUUUGUCCACCUUCAGUCCCCACCCUGCACUCAGCUCUCUCACCUGCAGCUCCUAGAAGCUGUCAGCAUGCAACAGCGGCCAUAUACUGGGAGCGGCUUUGACUGCCUGGCUAAACCAGGGAGGGUAGCCGAUGGGUCUCAAGCCUUGGUGAGUUAAGGACUUCCCGUGCGUGAGAAGAUAGGCUCUGGCAGAUGGAACAGACGAGACCAACAAGGGUUACUGCUUGGGCUGUAGAGAGAAGUGAGGGGCAGAUGGGGCUCAUCAACCUGGGAAGGUAACCCAUCAAGGAGAAGGAAAACUCUGGUCCUAAACCUCCGCAGGAGUAAACCCUACACAAUGGUGUAAAGGUCAUAAGAUGGUUGGGUGGUGCCUUUUAUGCUUCCUUCUGACAACCCCUGCAGCCAAGCUGGUGCUAAACAUAUUGCUUAGGGCUGACAUACACCCAGAAUUUCCCGGACACAGUCGGUGUUCAUCCCUCGUAAACAGCGUCCAGGUGGAAAUCGCAGAAAUGUCCACUUUCCUUUGGACUACAUCAAUGAGGUCUUGUCAUCUGGGCAACCCAGGACCUCCAUACACACUGCCCAGGCUUACACGCCGGGGAAGACACUUUGGUGCUGCUAAUGCAACAGCUUGACUUCACACCUAGACAUGCACCCCAUGUUGAUGGAAGCCAACAACAAUGCUAUAUGCAGACACACCUGUGCAGUGUUAAUAUUUGUGCAUCUGUAUGUACAAUGUUAGGAGGCAAUCUAAACCCUGCCUGCUGACUGGCAUGGCUUCACAGGGCAGCAGAGCCACAUCCAUAGUUGUGCUGGGCACAGCAACCAGGGCAGAAGAGGGGUGCAGGAUGAUUGCUGAGCCAGGCUGGAGGUGGAACACCCAUUGGGACCAGAUGAGGCCUAAUACCAUAACACACUGGCAUUUGUUAGGGAGCAAUCCAGACCCUGGCCACCAACCAGCAGGGAUUUUAAAGAAUUUUGUUUUGCUCAUUUUUAAAAAUAUAUAAUCUCUUUUAUACUGUAACCCACUCUAGAAUGCUUAAGGGCCGCAGCUCAGUGGGUGGCGCUGUGGUCUAAACCACUGAGCUUCUUGGGCUUGCCGAUCAGAAGGUCAGUGGUUCGAAUCCCCGCGACGGGGUGAGCUCCCGUUGCUCGGUCCCAGCUCCUGCCAACCUAGUAGUUUGAAAGCACACCAGUGCAAGUAGAUAAAUAGGUACCGCUCCGGCGGGAAGGUAAAUGGUGUUUCCGUGCACUCUGGUUUCUGUCAUGGUGUUCCAUUGCACCAGAAGCAGCUUAGUCAUGCUGGCCACAUGACCCGGAAAGCUGUCUGCAGACAAACGCCGGCUCCCUCGGCCUGAAAGCGAGAUGAGCGCCGCAACCCCAUAGUUGCCUUUGACUGGACUUAACUGCCCAGGGGUCCUUUACCUUUACCUUCUAACCCACUCUGGAAUGCUUAAGGGCUGCAGCUCAGCCAGCAGCACCUGCAUGCAAAAGGUGCAAGGUUCAAUCCCUAGCAUCUCUGGGUACACCUGGGAGAAAUCUCUGCCUGAAAUCCUGGAGAGGAGCUGCCAGUCACUGUAGACAAUACUAAUAUAGAUGGGCCAAUGGAAUAAGUCAGCUUCCCAUGUUGGUUUCUAUGCUGGCAUCAGUACCAGUGAAGGGUGGGCUAUACAUUUUUAAAACGAAUGAAUGACCAAAAUGGUUGCUUUUAAAUUGUGGCAACUUGUCCUACCACUGCUGAGUGUAUACUAUGGGACCCCCAUGUUUUUCUUUCCCUGAUGAUGUACUACUUGUUACCAUUUCUGGAGUGAGUCAUACACACCUUUUCCAGCAACAAGUUCUACUGAAUCCAUUUGAUUUCUGCGAGAUGUAACCUGAAAUGUGCAUUAAGGUGCUAAUAGGGUGUAUACGGUUGGUAUCGAGUUUUCGUGAUGAGUUGCGUGGAUGUUUAUCUGCUUUUAUUAUGAAGCCCAGCACAAAUCCUUAAGCAGAUACUCCAUUCGAGCUGAGAAACGAGUCCUGACAGUUUACUGCAAGAUGACAAAUGAAUGCUGACAUUUAUUCUUACAUGUUUAUAGAUCAGUCUAAAGGUUAAGAGUCGCUAAUGUGGGCAAUCUGAAGAAUCCAUAUACAUAAACAAAAUAUUCAUUUCAGGAUAACCAUAUACGUCCAACGCCAUUCUCAAAAGAUAAAAGUCAGAUUAAGGAGAGAGGGAGGGAAAAUGCAAAUUUAGCAGUAUAAAUCUGUCCGCUGAAUUGCUUGAUUGAUAGGUAGUGUGAUCAAAUCCCUUUGUCAUUUAGUUUAAAAACAAACCAUUGACUGGAACAUCCCUCAGUAAUCAGGAGCGUCUCUUAGCAUAACCCCACCCGCGAUUAUUACAAUCGCUUGCCAGCCAAUGAUUCAGGCAUUCCAAUUACUCAACUGCCAAGGCCACUAGCAAAUCGGUGGUCGAAAAAAGAGGAGAAAUUCUUCUCUGUUUGGCAAGACCAGCCUCCCUUCCUUUUGUUCCUCAAAAUAAAAAGGCAUUCUAAUAUUAAAGCUAGCGCCAUACUGCUUGCAUUCAGACAUAAUGCUAAUGGAGCAAUCUUAGCCUCUGAGCCGCCAUGCCGGAACAGGUUUGGAUGAGGCAAAGGUGUCCCUUUGCCCAGUCCUGCCUGCAUCUUCUGGCCUCUGGCAGUGGGGCACCUCAGCUGUUGCCACUGCUGUACUGAAACCCAGUGGAGCCUGCCCAAUGGUAGGCAAAAGGAAGCUAUCACCAGUGAGUGGGGAGUAUCCUGCAAAAACUCCUGAAACCGGGUGUUUCAGGGGAAGCACUGGCAUGGCCCAAGAUCCACUGGAUUUUGGGUUGGUCUUGCUGUCAUCACGUGACAGCAGAGGACCUCUUUAUCACAAUUUAGGCCUCUGCAACUACACUAGCCUGGGAGCUGGAAGAGUAAAGGCGUUUUCCCCCUGCCCUUCAACUUCUACUUUGGCUAGCACAAGUGGUGGACUGUGGAUGUGGUAGAAACCACACCCACAGAAUUUUAGCAUUUUGAAGUUUGGGCUGCUUCCUUAACUAUAGCUUCAGCUUUUUCUUUUAGUUAACCACAGUGUGUUGCGUCAUUAUUAACUGUGAUUAAUAUAAAACGAGCCAACAUCAAACCAUGGUUUGCAAAUGUCUGUUAAACUAACCAUUGUUAAUAUUGACCACAGUUUCUGGUUCAGGCAACACGGCAAACUGUGAUUAACUAAAAUCUGCAGUGAAGCUUCUGAACUCUCAUCCUUGUGGGAAGGGAAGGAGAGUAUGUGAGCCUUCAGGAAGGCAUGAGGCUUGCUUAUCCUUCACUACACCAUGGUUUAGAAUUAUGUUCAGCUAUUGGCCCGGUUCAUAUAUUACUCUAGCCAAAACAUGGCGGUUCCUAGGGAAGAGAUUGUGGUUCCUCCACUGGUCUUCUUGCUGCUGUGCUGCUAUGAGCUAAGCCAUGGUUUGGCUUUGUGUGUUAUCCACACCCAGCUUAAUUAUUUUUUCUUGCUUCAGAUGAACGAUGACAUGUAACCAUGGUUUGUUCUUUUAUGGAGCUGUCCCCAGUUGGCAAGCUUAUUAAUGAAUGUAAUUGUUGCAGAUCAGGGCAGGUUUUCCUACACCUGUCCUCUGCUGGCGUGAGAAUUAUGUGCAGAAAGCUUUGGAUACCCGAAUGCAUCAUCUGGGCUGUGUAUAUACUGUAUAUAUACUGUUUGGGAGGAUAGGAGACUUAACCAAGGUACACAGCAAAAAACAGUGCCUAUUACUGAAGGGGCCUCCAGCCUAGCUGUUGCUGUUUCUCACUGAUUUACAUAAGAAGACAACAGUUGCACAAUGAAAAGCAGGCAAUGUCAAACACAGAAUGUGUGGUUUGCAGAGUAUAUAAAUGUAAUAGAAUCCUCUGAAAGGUCAAGAAGACUCUUUUGGCGUUCUUUUAAAAGCUGCAAUUGAAGCGAGUGAGUCCAUGAUUCAUUUCAAUGGGAGGUGUGUUGGUAUUAGCCAAGGUCCUCAACGCCUGACCUGAAUUUUUAUGGGGAAUUUGUAAGAUGAAGUAGGUAAUUCCCUCCAAGAAAGAAGUGAGAAUGGUCUUUGGUACACGUGGUGGUAUUAACUUCACUCCGGCUUCUGAUAGCUGCCUUGUUCGCGCUUCCAGAAUGCUAACCAUUUGCAUCAAAAUGUUUACUGUAAUGAAACAAAUCAUUUCGGUUUUAUCAGCGACUGGAUCACAUCUCUCAUUCAACUGCUGCUGAUUGCUCCAAACGUCUAUAAAAUGUGCUUGAACUCUGCCUUUCAAUAUCAGUUCAGAAGCCUGAACUGUAUCUUUAUGAGGGCAAUGCCAGAAUAACUUGCAAAUGCUACAGGGACAAAGUAACACCACAUUUCAUUUUCGUUUUAUUUAUUUUUACUUUUUCACCUUAUGGGACAAGAAAAAAAAAGGGGGGGAGAAAAGACUUAUAAUUCUCCUUCCCAUUGGUUAUUGGCAAAGAAACCCAAAACAAAACUCUGGCUUUUUAACCGUUUGAAAAAGAACUCUACUUUAAUAGGGCUGCUUAGGAGAGUGAUUUCCAUUUCUUGCGGCCUGAGGAAGGUCGUCGUUAGAAUUACGUAUGGAUAACUGUGAUUUUCAACUGAUGCGGCUUGUCAGAGAAGUGCAAAAUAAAAACAGAGACAGGAGGAGACAUAUUUUUAGGAUAGACCCAUAAGGACAAUAUGUGCCACUGUUAGUAUAGCUAUUUCAGUGGUGUUUAGGAGUUUACUUCCUUCUGCUGAUAACCUCCAGCUAACCUAAUAACCUAAGCUUCUAAUGGCAGAGCCUCACGGGGGUAUUGGCGAAGGUAAGAGAUGGGGAGCCCCAGGCCAGAGGUCUGAAUGCAGCCCCCCACAGACCUCCCUAUCUGACUUCUCCCAGGCUACACAACCUGGGCCGCUACAGCUACCUCUUUGCCUUUAACCCUCCCUAAUGUUUUUGCCUGUCUGUUAUGUGUCUACUGUCGGUUUGCAAGCCCCCUCCACCGAGGCUGGCCCCUCUCACUGUCCUCGGAGCUUGCUUACCGGUAACCUCCUCUGGCUGACAUCCAGACAGACCAGGGAGAUUUUGAUAGGCGACAUUUUCCCAAACAUGGGGAAAUGCACAACCCCUCCCUCCUGCUUCCGCAGGGGAAAGAAAACAAUUCAGAAAUCUAUUUACAUGAUGUUUAUUUCUGACAUUACAGCACUAGAGAAAAGCACGUCCUUUCAGUUCAGUUCUUCUAGCAAGUCUGACAAACUUCCUGAACAUGCGCAAAUGGAAGGUUUCAGAUUACACUCUUCACAGAGACUUUUCCAGCCUGUGAACUUCCUGGGAAAUUCUUCUUUCCCACAGAUAGGCACAUCAUGUGAUGUCAACAAUCUGGCUGUCUGCAGCUGUGAUGUUUCCAUAUACUGACAUCUACAUCUGUUAUGUAGGCCUUGCGUUAUAAGGACAUUGUGUUGCAAGUUUUCCCUCCCCUGAAAAUGGUAACCAAUGAAGUGGGCUGGUGUGGGUGUUGGGAAGCACACAAUGCUUGCAUCACUUUUUGUUUUUUGUAUCACUACAUAAUGCAAGGUGCAGAAGAGAUAUGGGGCAGCAGGUAGGUUACAGCCUGAGGAUUUCAUCGAUGCAUUUUUACACGGGAAUAAGUCUCAUUGGACUUAGAGGUGCUUACUCCUGUCCUGAGUAAACAUGGACAGCAUCAUACUGUUUAUUUUAACCUGUCAUGAAGCAAAAUGGAUAUAAUACAAGGGAGGCCUCUGAAGUGCCCCCCGCCCAUUCACUCUAAAGGUGCAUUUCCCAUUGAACUGUAUGGAUAGUGUUGCCACUCCUGUUAACAUUGCUGAAGAAAUACAACCUGUGCUGUUAAUAAUGAUUGUGCAACCCGUACAGCACAUAGGCGACAAUUAUUCACACAAUUAAUAUUCUUGUUUAAAAAUAAUUUUUUCACCAUUUAUCAGAUUUGUGAGAAUAAGACAACUACUUACGAAGUGCCAUGAAAACUUAUAAGCUUUUUAACUUGCAGUGUCAGAUUUUACUAAGUUCUUACAACUUCUUGACUCAAUUUUUGUUUUUUCUUGUUUUUUAGGUAAGUUCAAGAAGAAGGUAGGUAAGUUCAACUAUGUUCCCGGUAGCUGUGAAGUGCAGAUGGAAGACAGGGUGCCAGCGUUCUAUGCCCGUUUCGCCCUAGCAGUCCAUAAAGUUGAAGAGCUGCUAUUUCUCCUCUGACAGGGCCAAUUUAUUGCUCCCUGAGCACAGUUUUCUGGGCUUCCUCAGUAGUCUCGAGCCAUUAAUGUGACUAUUAGUGCUAAAUGUAGUUAUAGAAACAAUUUCUUGGCUUAAGUAUAAAGAUCUGAAUAGCUUAGCUAUCAGACAAACAGAUCUUCAGAAACCUACAGUAUAUAAAAAUGGGAGGGAUGUAUAGCAGACUUAACUGCUGGCCUCCCUAACCUUGUAAUACUAAACCAUUGUUUAGUUACUACAUGAAUGAGCAUUGAACUUGUGCAUUCCCACCAUGCAUUCUCCUUCAGUGUGAACUCUCAGUUUGGACUUAUUUCCCUUACUCCAGACUUCUGCUAACUGUUCUACCGUCUUUCCUCCUCAGCCACAGCUAUCUUUCAAGCCCAAUCCUCUGCAUAUCAAGGGGCUUAAAUCUCAGGCAAGUAAGCAUUGCAUUACAGCCUGAGCCUUUCUGUGUAAACUGACCUUUCACUUCCCUCACAGAAGUUUCACUGUUAGCAUUCCAUUGUUGGCAUGAUGUCCCCCCAAAACCUAGAAGUUGUCAGCUGCUUAUCCUCAGACUAGUGAGACAGAUAGGCAAGUGCUGGCUAUUGGUUGUUCUUCAACUGUUUAAAGAAACAUUUCUAGUAUCCUUUGUAAGAUCAUUAUGUUACAGAUACGCUAAUGUCCCUUCUGACAGUCGCUCUUCUAUUUAGCUCUUCAGUUUGUCACAAAAUCACUGGAGGUUAACCUGUUUGCCAGCUCAAACUGACAUGUUUAGUGGAUGGGGAUGGUUUUCAGGAAAAGCUGAAGGGAACACAUGAUAUUGAAGCCACUUCCAAAAACAGAGAUAUUUCAAAAGGAGUUGUGAGGAUUUUACCUCAGGGUAAAGUUCCCUCCUGAGAGUUUGUGUGUGUGCAGUGGAUUGGGCAGAAACCACCUGAUGUGCUUUUCAAUUAUAAUCAUUCUAAAUAAAUAAAUACAUCCAGUUUAAAAUAAAAUUAAUAUAUUAGAGUGGUUUCUAGAAAACCAAAAACCUUCCUGCAUGUGUUCUUGCAGUUUUGUUUUUAAUAGAAAGUGGCAUUAAACAACUUUGCCCAAAAAAAAUCAACAAAUUUUGUUGAUUUUCACUUUUUGAAAUAGGGCAACCCUAAUUAAACUGGCCUUUUUAAAUCAGUUUAUUCUUCAUCACAUUUGAAGGAAACCAAUAUUAAUAAGCUUGUUCCCUAUUUACGUGGGGUGAAUAUCCACUGAAGAACAGCAGGUGUUUUGUAGUUCAAAGGGAACAACUAUCCCCUUCUCAAUUUUUUAAAAGCCCCAAUACAACAUGUAUGUGAAAUUUAACUUUGUGAAGGUUUCUUUUACUAGUUUGGCUGGAUGAUUAUUUGCAUUGAAGGCUGUAGUCCAAACUCCAUUUACCUAGAAGCAAGCCCUGUAAUUCACUGGUAUUACUUCUGAGUAGACAUGGUUAGGAUUGCAUUGCAAAUGGAUUACCAUUCUUCCCCUCCUCUGUAAUAAUAAAGCAGCU